UUUCCUGCAUUUUCCUAUGAGGAAUGUUUUUUUCUUGUUAACCUGUGGAUUGUGUUCCAGGAGGAGGCAGCCAAGGAGGACCUGCUGGAUGCCAGGAUCACCCCCAGCCCUCCCGAGGAGCUCAGCUGUCCCAGCAAAUCCCCGGGAACGGAAAUCCCCGGGAGCCAAACCCCAAACUCCAGCACAGCUCCGUGGACAGACCCCCCCAGUGCUCCUCGGGAAAACGGGGAGCAGCAGCAGGAGAAGCAGCAGGAGGCAGGAUCAGAGAGUGGCCCCGGCCCUCCCGAGGAUGAGGAGGGAGUGGGAGGCUCUGGGCAUUCCCUGGAAGUUGAGGAUGGCGCUGAUCCGCAGCCUGCCUGUGAUUCCGUGCCCUUGGAGACAACUCCUGGAAGUGCAGAGCCUGGGGGAGCCACUGAGGAAGGGCAGGAAUGCCAGGAGCCCUCGGAGCACUCGGAAAAGGAGGAGAGGGAGGUGGAGGAGGAGGAGAAGGAGAACGAGGAGCUGGAGGAUGAAAGCUCCUUCCUGGGCCCUGUGGAUUUGGUGCUGUCCGAGAGCAGCGAUGCCGAGAUGGAAUGCGAGCACGGCGAGCAGAAUCCAGGGAAUUCGGCGUCUCCAGAGGAGUUUGGUGCUCCUGAAGAGGAGCCUGUGCCCAGCCCCACCUCCCUGGCACCGCCCUGCCCUGACAGAUCCUCCCCAGCGCCCUCAGAUGGGGCCGGGACUGACCCUGGAGCCUUUCCCGAGGAGAUGUCACCAAACCAGGAGGAGCUCCCGGAUCCCUGGGACGCUCCGGGCACGCCGGAGUCAGAGACAGACGGGGCUGGAGUGGCCAGUCUGGCCGAGCUGGGGUCACCCCACGGUGACAGCGGGGAGCUGCCAGUCCCCCCUGAGCCCAGCCUUGUCCGUGGGGCACAGCCUGACAGUGUCACAGACAGCCCAGAUCCUGCUGGAGCCACGCUGGGGAACGGGAACGGCUCCGAGCACAAAAUCGGGGAUCAGGCGCCCUCUGGAGAGCACUGGGAGCCUGCUGGGAACACAGGGUCCCCCUGCAGACCGGGAAUGAGCCUGGCCCUGUCCCCUGACACCAGCUCCAUCUGCCUGACCUCUCCCACCGGGUCCCUGGAUCCGUGGGCUGCUCCAGAGGAUCAGCCCAUGGAGAGCAUCCAGUCCCCGUCCCAGAGCGACCUGGGACAGAGCAGCUGCUUCUCCCAGCAGGGUGGGGAUGGCACCGAUCCCGACCCCAAUUCCCUGGAUGCUGAGGAGUCACCCCAAGGUGGGAACGGGGUGUUGGUGGAGGAACAGCUGGGGAGCCCCUCUGCCAACAGCACAGAGGAGCUGGAUGAUCCCAUGGGAGCAGGAGAUGGCCGGGACUCCCCCUUGGAGUACACGGACAUAGGAGAUGACUGCGGAGCUGAGGAGAGCGAGGAUGUGUUCCCUGGGACAGAGAAUUCCCCUGGGAAUGACACCACGAACACGGAGAUGGCGGAGAUCCCUGUCCACCAUCACCUCCUGGAAUCAGAGCCCUCCUCCUCCAUCAGGGAGGGCAUCUCAGCCGUACAGGAGCUCCCCAGGCAGCAGCAGAGCUUCCCAAACAUCCACGGGGACUCAGCUCCUGCUUCUCCCGCCCCCAGAGACUCCAAUCCCGGCGUUCCCGCCGUGCCGGGCCGGCGGGAGUCGGUGCUGUGCCGCCUCUGGAAGCCGUGCUGGGAUGGAGGAGCCUCCCAGCUUCCCAGGAGGCGCCGCCACCGUGCCCGGGAGUCUCACCUGGCCCGCUCGCUGCUGGGGACCUGGAGGGGCUUGGAGGAGAUCACCCAGCACACUUUGGACAUGGAGUGUCUCCGCUUCCAUUAUAAGCUAAAAGAAAUCCUAAGGAAUGGCAGACGCCCCUUUUCUACCUCCCAAAGCAUCUUCCCGACGGACUUUCCUCCCCGCCGCGCCCCCUUCCCGCUGUCCCCGCGCAGCCGGAGCCCCCUGCAGGUGACAAUUCCCCCCUCGGACGCGUGGCCGGGCGGGCUCCGCUCCCGCGGGGACCCUCGGGCCGCCAGGAGGAGCCGUUCCCGGGCCAGGAGCCGGGAGCGCGGGG
RNAcentral lists this long non-coding RNA (2080 nucleotides) under Serinus canaria (Common canary). RNAcentral describes it as "lncRNA (ENSSCAG00000012375.1)". Lineage: Eukaryota; Metazoa; Chordata; Aves; Passeriformes; Fringillidae. The record is from RNAcentral.